RNAcentral lists this ribosomal RNA (253 nucleotides) under uncultured bacterium. RNAcentral's name for it is "partial 16S ribosomal RNA". It matches the Rfam family "Bacterial small subunit ribosomal RNA", at positions 524 to 776 of the family's 1533-position model. The record is from RNAcentral.
UACGGAGGGUGCAAGCGUUGCUCGGAAUCACUGGGCGUAAAGCGCGUGUAGGCGGCGUGACAAGUCGGGUGUGAAAGCCCUCAGCUCAACUGAGGAAGUGCGCCCGAAACUGUCGUGCUUGAGUGCCGGAGAGGGUGGCGGAAUUCCCCAAGUAGAGGUGAAAUUCGUAGAUAUGGGGAGGAACACCGGUGGCGAAGGCGGCCACCUGGACGGCUACUGACGCUGAGACGCGAAAGCGUGGGGAGCAAACAGG